RNAcentral lists this small RNA (2857 nucleotides) under Pongo abelii (Sumatran orangutan). Its description in RNAcentral is "retained intron". The record is from RNAcentral. Lineage: Eukaryota; Metazoa; Chordata; Mammalia; Primates; Hominidae.
AGGCGGUUGCUACCCACCUGCUAGAGGCGCUGCGGCUGGGAUCCAGGCUGGUGGGAGACCAUGUCGGACCUGGGCUCGGAGGAGUUGGAGGAGGAGGGAGAGAAUGAUAUUGGGGAAUAUGAGGGGGGUCGGAAUGAGGCAGGCGAAAGGCACGGACGUGGGAGGGCACGGCUACCCAACGGGGACACCUACGAAGGGAGCUACGAAUUCGGUAAAAGACAUGGCCAGGGGAUCUACAAAUUUAAAAAUGGUGCUCGAUAUAUCGGAGAAUAUGUUAGAAAUAAAAAGCACGGUCAAGGCACUUUUAUAUAUCCAGAUGGAUCCAGAUAUGAAGGAGAGUGGGCAAAUGACCUGAGGCAUGGCCAUGGCGUAUACUACUACAUCAAUAAUGACACCUACACCGGAGAGUGGUUUGCUCAUCAAAGGUUCGGUUUCUAUCUUGAGUCUUACGGGAUUUGCUUAUGUAAUGAGAACAUGAUGUCUGCAGAUUGUUUACACUUAUUGAGGAACAGAAUCAUAACAAAAGCCCAGUUACCAACUCUGCCAGGCAGGUCCAAUCUUUCUAUGGCUUUGAGGCAAGGAUGCCUUUCUGUGCAAGUGUAGACUCAAGUAUCUGACAUCUGCACCUCCGUUGGGGCAGAGCACGUGAGUCUUUCACCCAAGAGUCCCAGGGAGUGGAGGGCACAGAAGAGCCACUGGGGGACCUGAGCCACAGCUCCCACUAGCUCUGCCUCUUCCCUGGGGAAAACAGCUGACACACAGGAGUCUUGCCUCUGUCCAGCUGGCCGGUCCUCUGUGCCUCUGGCAAUGUCCUGUGCUUGGGGCACACUGAGCAAGGUGUACCUUCUGACUGGACACAGAUACAGAAGCUACAUCGCUUGUGAGCCUGCAACAGCCUGGGCCUCCCUCAAUGUCAAUGUCUGUGUUUUAAACCUGGGAGAUUUUUCACUGUGCUGGAACGAAAUACCAUGUUCCCUUUGUCUUAACCAGGCAUGGGCAAGGCACCUAUUUAUACGCGGAGACGGGCAGUAAGUAUGUUGGCACCUGGGUGAACGGACAGCAGGAGGGCACGGCCGAGCUCAUUCACCUGAACCACAGGUACCAGGGCAAGUUCUUGAACAAAAAUGUAAGUCCAUGGGAAGUGACAUUUGCCAAUGAAGUACAAAAUAACCCCCGCCCCCCGGCAGCCUGUGCAAAUGUGUGACCAGAGAAUACCAAAAACUCAGAGAAAACUGAGUCCGGCCUAUUCAAAUGUGGGGAACAGGACAGCUGUGCCAUUCUCUGAGCCUCUGGUGCCCACAGAGCACAGAAUUGGGGGGAGGGAGGGAUUGGCCCGUUUCUCUGGGUCUCAGUACAAACUCCCACUGUCUUUCAGUGGGGACCUGUUGCAUUGUUAUAUAACACGAGAGGACAUCUGAACCUCUUGUGUGUAUUCCUUCUCAUCGGUAAAUCAGAUACCAAAUAUCUAUUUCCUGCAAUUGAGCAUAGAGGUGUUUGGGUUUUGUUUCCCUGGAAGGGGAGGUGCAACAUCCCUGGGGAGGAAGACCCCCAGCUCCCUCCUCAUGCUACAGGCCAGCCUGCAUGCUCCUAGUUGUGGUGGGAAUUAAGGCUGCCAAGGGCCUGGCCAGCUUCUAGCACCCACUGUGGGCCGUUUCUGUUCGAAGACUUGGUGGUUCCUCUUGCCCUUAUUGUACAGAGAAACCUUGAAUAAUUCAGAAGCUAAUACUCAGGCCAUCGUGAUAGCUUUGAUCAGGGGUUGAGCAGAAACUUUCCCUGAAGAGAGAAUUUGCUGAGCAAAUUGAUGGUGUUAGGAGUUGACAGAGGGAAUGUUUAGCUGAUUUAAUGAAGUCUCUUUAGACUCUCUGAGAACCCAGUUUUCAUUUACAUAUAAUUCAUGCCCUAACUACAGAUUUUACUUUUAGUCUUCAUUAAAACAGCACAUUCCCCUCAAACCCAUGCAUUGUUUAUAUAAUUCCCUGCAAAUUUCUGUGGGUCUUUUUGGAGGAGAUGGGAAGGUGGUUGCAGAGGAAGAGAAUUUGAUGAAAAUGAAUCUGGAAGAAUCAAUCGGCUUGUCCAGCCUAAACCAGUCUGAAAAAUCAGGCCUGUUGGCCCUGGAAAGUAUGUAUUUGAUGUUGGGUGUGAACAACAUGGUGAAUAUCGUUUAACAGAUAUGGAAAGAGGAGAAGAGGAAGAGGAGGAAGAAUUAGUAACUGUUGUUCCAAAAUGGAAAGCUACCAAAAUCACUGAAUUGGCCCUGUGGACACCAACUCUCCCCAAAGAGCCGACCUCUACGGAUGGACCUGGCCAAGAGGCUCCAGGAGCUGAGAGUGCAGGAGAACCCGGGGAGGAGGCCCAGGCUCUGCUGGAGGGCUUCGAGGGUGAGAUGGACAUGAGGCCUGGAGAUGAAGAUGCAGACGUCCUCCGGGAGGAGAGCCGGGAGUAUGACCAGGAGGAGUUCCGCUAUGACAUGGAUGAGGGAAACAUUAAUUCUGAAGAAGAAGAAACUAGACAGUCAGAGCUCCAGGACUAAGACGAAGUGAGCUGAGAGGAGAUCGUAUCAUAAGAAUGCUUCUGUCAUUAGCCUGGUGCGGUGCUGCGUGUAUCUAGUUCCAGCUACUUGAGAGGCUGAGGCAAGAGGAUUGCUUGAGUCCGGAAAGUGGCAGUUGCAGUGAGCUGAGAUUGCGGCACUGCACUCCAGCCUGGGUGACAGAGCGAGACCCUGUCUCAAAAACAAACAAAAAAUGCUUCUGUCAGUUAACAAUCUUUAUUAGAGGGUUUUUAGUCUUUCUUUCUCAGCUGUGUGUUAAGUUGGUUGACAAUUGCAAAUAAACCUCUUUAUUAUCCUUUCUUUCUGAAA